CCCAGACUCCUACGGGAGGCAGCAGUGGGGAAUAUUGGGCAAUGGGCGCAAGCCUGACCCAGCAACGCCGCGUGAAGGAAGAAGGCUUUCGGGUUGUAAACUUCUUUUCUCAGGGACGAAGCAAGUGACGGUACCUGAGGAAUAAGCCACGGCUAACUACGUGCCAGCAGCCGCGGUAAUACGUAGGUGGCAAGCGUUAUCCGGAUUUACUGGGUGUAAAGGGCGUGUAGGCGGGAAAGCAAGUCAGGUGUGAAAACCAUGGGCUCAACCUGUGGCCUGCAUUUGAAACUGUUUUUCUUGAGUACUGGAGAGGCAGACGGAAUUCCUAGUGUAGCGGUGAAAUGCGUAGAUAUUAGGAGGAACACCAGUGGCGAAGGCGGCCUGCUGGACGACAACUGACGGUGAGGCGCGAAAGCGUGGGGAGCAAACAGGAUUAGAUACCCUGGUAAAU
Molecule: ribosomal RNA, 451 nt
Filed under: uncultured bacterium
Lineage: Bacteria
Description: bacterial SSU rRNA
Rfam family: Bacterial small subunit ribosomal RNA
Source: RNAcentral